AUUUCACACUUUGGAUAGCGAUUCAAGCGAAGGAAGCACGUGUUAUCAUUGCAAAUUUUGUCAAAGGCUGACUGAGGGUGACCUAGAUUCUCGGCUAGAACUCCAGCAAGUAAUCGAGCUAGUUUCGCCAUUGCUGCUGCAAAAUUUUCCAUUACGUUCCUGCACAUUAAAAGGUGGGUCUGAAGUGAAUCGCUUAUGAAACAUGGUUUAUGAAAAAAAAGUUGAUGAAGCUUGAAAGGAAAGAGCAAGAGUUGCAAGAUAAUGCAGGAUGAGAAUAACAAGUCAAGUUUUGUGGAGUAGAAAUAGGUGAUGCUGGUAAGAUGGUGUUCACUGAUUGAGAGAAGGAUAUGGGUUUAUAUAUUUGCAAGUUGGAUGUGAAGAAUAGUGGUAGAGACUAGUGAGACUUGGAGAACAAUUGAAAGAAAGAACAUGAAAAAUGCAAAGAGAAGAUUCCAAAAGAAGAGGGCACUAAAACGUGACAUAUGUCAGAAGAAGAGAGUGUCUUUUGAAGAGCUCACUGGUUGAAAACUGUCAACUAUAAUUUAGAGAAGCCAGAAAGAGAGCAAAGCAUGUGUUUGGACUUCGGAGAAAACUUGAUAAAAAGGUGUGAAUUCAAACCUCUUUCUUUUGACUCUAUUGAAUGAGAAAAACUGGUGUCUGUUGCUGGUUCUAAUAUUAAAUUCUUAGUUGCUUUUUUUGAUAAAAUAACUCUAAAUUCUAGUUUUAAAAUGGUUCGCGAACCUCAUACUUGUAUGGUUUGAAUUGUUUCACGGUUGAAAUUCAAACAUAUAGAUGAUAAAAUCAUGAUAU
Papaver somniferum (opium poppy) is the source of this 810-nucleotide long non-coding RNA. RefSeq lists it as uncharacterized. The transcript is spliced from 2 exons. The record is from RefSeq and is a predicted model, not a curated record. NCBI's taxonomy places the organism in Eukaryota, Viridiplantae, Streptophyta, Magnoliopsida, Ranunculales, Papaveraceae.